GCAAACCUCAAGCUCAGCUUGGUCUUGGGCGUCGUUCCCCCCGGGGCGCGCCUGGAAAUCAGCGGCGGUGCGGCCCGGCGAUCGAGCGUAGUAACGAAACUCCCCGUCUCGAUUUUCGCCCGGACGUUCCGGCCGGACAACCCCUUUUGUUACCCCCAAUGAUUGACCUCGGAUCAGGUAGGGAUACCCGCUGAACUUAA
Molecule: unclassified non-coding RNA, 200 nt
Filed under: soil metagenome
Description: partial contains internal transcribed spacer 2 and large subunit ribosomal RNA
Source: RNAcentral